Molecule: ribosomal RNA, 482 nt
Filed under: uncultured bacterium
Lineage: Bacteria
Description: partial 16S ribosomal RNA
Rfam family: Bacterial small subunit ribosomal RNA
Source: RNAcentral
AUUGAACGCUGGCGGCAUGCUUUACACAUGCAAGUCGAACGGUAACAGGCUGCAAGGUUCUGCCGAGUGGCGAACGGGUGCGUAAUGCAUCGGAACGUGCCCAGUCCUGGGGGUUAGCUACUCGUAAGAGUAGCUAAUAUCGCAUACGAUCUAUGCCUGAAAUCGGGGGACCGUAAGGCAUCGUGCGAUUGGAGCCGCCGAUGUCGGCUUAGGUAGUUGUUGGGGUAAAGGCUCACCAAGCCCACGAUCUGUAGCUGGUCUGAGAGGACGACCAGCCACACUGGAACUGGAACACGGCCCAGACUCCUAAGGGAGGCAGCAGUGGGGAAUAUUGGACAAUGGGCGCAAGCCUGAUCCAGCAAUGCCGCGUGCAUGAAGAAGGCCUUCGGGUUGUAAACUGCUUUUGUAGGGAACGAAACGGCUCUGGUUAAUACCCGGCGCUAAUGACGGUACCGUAAGAAUAAGCACCGGCUAACUACGUG